This 494-nucleotide ribosomal RNA is filed under the name uncultured bacterium. Its description in RNAcentral is "partial 16S ribosomal RNA". It matches the Rfam family "Bacterial small subunit ribosomal RNA", at positions 28 to 507 of the family's 1533-position model. The record is from RNAcentral.
GACGAACGCUGGCGGCGUGCUUAACACAUGCAAGUCGAACGGUGAAGCGCCUUCCUUUUUGGUGGGUGUGGAUGAGUGGUGAACGGGUGAGUAACACGUGAGUAACCUGCCCCCUUCUUCUGGAUAACCGCAUGAAAGUGUGGCUAAUACGGGAUAUUCUGGGUCUGUCGCAUGAUGGGUCUGGGAAAGAUAUUGUUUCGGUGGGGGAUGGGCUCGCGGCCUAUCAGCUUGUUGGUGGGGUGAUGGCCUACCAAGGCGGUGACGGGUAGCCGGCCCGAGAGGGUGGACGGUCACACUGGGACUGAGACACGGCCCAGACUCCUACGGGAGGCAGCAGUGGGGAAUAUUGCACAAUGGGCGCAAGCCUGAUGCAGCGACGCCGCGUGAGGGAUGGAGGCCUUCGGGUUGUGAACCUCUUUCGCCAGUGAAGCAGGCCUGCCUCGUUUGUGGGUGGGUUGACGGUAGCUGGAUAAGAAGCGCCGGCUAACUACGUG